AUACGUAGGUGGCAAGCGUUAUCCGGAAUUAUUGGGCGUAAAGAGGGAGCAGGCGGCAGCAAGGGUCUGUGGUGAAAGCCUGAAGCUUAACUUCAGUAAGCCAUAGAAACCAGGCAGCUAGAGUGCAGGAGAGGAUCGUGGAAUUCCAUGUGUAGCGGUGAAAUGCGUAGAUAUAUGGAGGAACACCAGUGGCGAAGGCGACGAUCUGGCCUGCAACUGACGCUCAGCCCCGAAAGCGUGGGGAGCAAAUAGGAUUAGAUACCCUAGUAGUCCACGCCGUAAACGAUGAGUACUAAGUGUUGGAUGUCAAAGUUCAGUGCUGCAGUUAACGCAAUAAGUACUCCGCCUGAGUAGUACGUUCGCAAGAAUGAAACUCAAAGGAAUUGACGGGG
RNAcentral lists this ribosomal RNA (392 nucleotides) under uncultured bacterium. RNAcentral describes it as "partial 16S ribosomal RNA". It matches the Rfam family "Bacterial small subunit ribosomal RNA", at positions 523 to 918 of the family's 1533-position model. The record is from RNAcentral.